UACUGAGAUGGACCCGCCGAGGCCAGUGUGCCAAGGGUGUUUCCUCCAAGCGGCCAUGUGGGGAAUCUACUGCAACGAGUGUCACUACGACAUUGCAGGCCGCUCGGCGAGCGCCACCCCCUCAGCCCUGAGAAACAAGCCUCCGCCCCUGAUCCAGCGGCAGCAGAUGCGCAUUCUCGAGAUUACGCCCGAUUUUUCUGACUUUUCUAUUG
This is a long non-coding RNA of Cloeon dipterum, 212 nucleotides long. RefSeq lists it as uncharacterized. The record is from RefSeq and is a predicted model, not a curated record. The transcript is spliced from 3 exons. NCBI's taxonomy places the organism in Eukaryota, Metazoa, Arthropoda, Insecta, Ephemeroptera, Baetidae.